Herpailurus yagouaroundi (jaguarundi) is the source of this 1156-nucleotide long non-coding RNA. RefSeq lists it as uncharacterized. The record is from RefSeq and is a predicted model, not a curated record. The transcript has 2 exons. Lineage: Eukaryota; Metazoa; Chordata; Mammalia; Carnivora; Felidae.
CCGACUGCCAAAUUUGCGCCCCUCCUGGGACUGUUUGAGAGAAGGACAAACUUUUGAACGGAUUAAAAAUCAAGAGGAGUCCGUCUGGGGCAGGGGUCCUCUUUCCCUUGGAUGGAGAGGCUGCUCCUCCCUUGGCUCUUGGCUAUCUCUCCGAGGAACACACCCCUUGAUUAGCCAGGCCCGCAGCCACCCCCAUCUGCUCUGCUGAGAAGGGAGGCCACUCAUUCCAGGCCUUGGUGGAAGGGAUACAGAGUGCCCAACGCAGCUUCCUUGCCUCAACUGGCCCCUCAGGGAAGGUGGGAACCUCCUUCACUUCGCAGGAUCCGGAAUCUCGGCCGGCAGAGCGGACAGCCGCGCUCUGGAGCCUUACGCCGGAAGAAGUUUCUGCCAUUGCGCUCUCCUUGCUGUCUCAGCCUCUGCCCAUGUCUGCGUGCUGUUGUGUUCUCCCUCACUGAGGGAAAUAAAAUGUCCCUCCCCACUCCCCUAGUCAUUCCCUGUACCCUACCCCCACCAAACCUUCUAGCUGCUGACGGUAAUGAACUCCAGCUUCCAGCCUUGCUCAUAAGCUACUCACAGUGAAUUCAAAUUCUCUUCUGGGCAGGAGGGAGGACAGAUGCUCCUUCCUCAGUCCUCCCUUGCUCAGUGAUCCAUUUUGAAGGCCUUUUGGGGUCAAAGUCAGACCAGGUUGCUUCCAUUGGUAUAAAAUUAGCAUCUUAAAAAAAUCACACCCAGAUUUCUAGCAUCCCAGAAUAGAAGUCUUGGAGCACCUGGCUGGCUCAUUCAGUGGAGCAUGUGAGUCUUGAUCUCAGGGUCGUGAGUUCAAGCCCACAUUGGGCAUAGAAAUUACUUAAUUAAAAAAAAAAAAAAAAGGAAUAGAAGGUCUUUACCCAGACCCACACCUCUUCUCUGGCCUUUCAAACCCGUUGAUGAUAUAAAGGCUUGUGGAGGUGGAGGAACAGAAGGGAAAUGAGCAAUUUCCUCCAUCUAAAAGUCAGUCGUUUCAGCUGGUCAUUCUACUGUAUUUAUUUAGUACUUACUAUGUGUAAAGCAUCACCCCUACCUCAGUUUGUCAUGACUGUCGAAAGCAAUUGUUGCCCCUAUAAGGCUUCAGUGUGUGUGGACAGAUCUACAAAUAAACAAAUCAAUGGAAAAGAAA